GCUCAGAAACUCAAAUGAAUUGACGGGGCCCGCACAAGCGGUGGAGUAUGUGGUUUAAUUCGAUGCAACGCGAAGAACCUUACCUGGUCUUGACAUCCCGGAGACCCUUAGGAAACUAGGGGGUGCUUCCAUCUGGAAGAAUCUGGAGACAGGUGCUGCAUGGCUGUCGUCAGCUCGUGUCGUGAGAUGUUGGGUUAAGUCCCGCAACGAGCGCAACCCUUGCCUUUAGUUGCCAGCAGUUCGGCUGGGCACUCUAAAGGGACUGCCGGUGUUAAACCGGAGGAAGGUGGGGAUGACGUCAAGUCCUCAUGGCCUUUAUGACCAGGGCUACACACGUACUACAAUGGCCGAUACAAAGGGCAGCGACACUGCGAGGUGAAGCCAAUCCCGUAAAAUCGGUCUCAGUCCGGAUUGGAGUCUGCAACUCGACUCCAUGAAGUUGGAAUCGCUAGUAAUCGUGGAUCAGCAUGCCACGGUGAAUACGUUCCCGGGCCUU
Molecule: ribosomal RNA, 496 nt
Filed under: uncultured Desulfobulbus sp.
Lineage: Bacteria; Pseudomonadati; Thermodesulfobacteriota; Desulfobulbia; Desulfobulbales; Desulfobulbaceae
Description: bacterial SSU rRNA
Rfam family: Bacterial small subunit ribosomal RNA
Source: RNAcentral